UUUCUUCUAUGAUUUCUUUCUGACAUAUCUUUCUUCCGCUUGUAGGUUUGAAUCGACUUUUGUGGUUUCACAUGUGGAGUGAGAAGUUGGGUAGCGAAGGGGUUGGUUGUUAUCUUUGGUUAUCUAGCUGUAUGAGUGGUGUACAUUCUUCAUAAAGCUAGAUAACCGAAAGUAACAAGAAUCCCAUUACACUGCUAAAAGGCAAUGAGACCCCUUCACCCCCUGCACCUGCUCCAUUCUUCAUCAACAAAAAAAGAAAUGGUUGAGGCAAAACCAAACCAGAAGCCUGAAAGGCCACAGGCACACUCCAUUCCAAGGAAACUCAUGAGACUGGGAGAUGGCGAAAGCGAAGAGGAGGGGCUGUCGUUUCUUUCACCAGCCUCCCCUGCCCACGUAUCUCCUGCUUCCCCUCCCCUCCUUGAUGCUUGGCCCUUCUCCUGUAUCAGAAGACGCAGCCGUCGCCACCAUCUUAGGAGAAGGCUGGCAUGGCAUGAAAUGGCAGGGGGAUCCCAAGAGGUGAAAGCUGGAAUUGGCUCAUGAUGACAUGCAUUGAGCGAGUGGACAGACAAUGAGGUUACGUUAACUUAUGGAGAAGAUCCUUCAUCAUCUGGCCAUGGCAGUUUCAUCCACUGAUACAGGACAUACCAGAACCAGGCACCUAAAUCCAGCACGAUGACUAUGUAUCAUAUGUGUGCCCCAUCUUUUGAACAGCAAAGCACUUAACAUCAUAAACUUUGGGACAUUCUUGUUAUUCUGAAAGGCUCAUCAAGACCUGUUUCAGAGGUAUCUUCAAGGUGUGGUUGAGUGGUACUUAUCAAUUUGCCUGAUGAACUGCUAGGGGACAAGGUAUUCUUCUCCCCAGCCAAAAGAAGCACCAUUGUCAGACCCACGUUGAACAGAAAAAUACUUGGAUAUUCUUGGUCAUAUGAGAAAAAGCUGAUGGUUAAAGACACCCAUCAUGAUUCAUGGUAUCCAGUCACCUUCAGCUAAAUGAUCUGAAGACAUUCAGCACAGAAACAAAGACUAAGGUUCUCAUUGUGAUAUCAGCAAUAUCAACUGGACCAUUUGCUCAAAAGAACACCUGCAGAUAUGGAGGCACUGGAAAGACUAGAGCACAUUGGUGUUUCUCUGGAAGAUCACAUGGAUAGACAUGCCUUUGGAGUCUCAGUCACUACAGCCUACCCAUAGAAUAUUAACAUCUUAAAAAAAAAAAUAAUAAUAAUUUCCUUUGUAAAUAUCCUCCAAGCAUUAACAAUUUAAAGCACUUAUGAAAUGCACUUGAAAAAAAGACAAUCCAAAUUAAGCUGAAGACACUUGGGUUAACAGUAUUCUGUAGUAUUCAUCUCACGGGGACACUACACCAAACUGUUGAUGUAGACCAAUAAAGUUUGUACAGUUUAGGAAGACA
RNAcentral lists this long non-coding RNA (1408 nucleotides) under Scleropages formosus (Asian bonytongue). RNAcentral's name for it is "lncRNA (ENSSFOG00015031562.1)". The stretch from base 104 to 181 matches the Rfam family "mir-9/mir-79 microRNA precursor family". The record is from RNAcentral. Lineage: Eukaryota; Metazoa; Chordata; Actinopteri; Osteoglossiformes; Osteoglossidae.